Molecule: ribosomal RNA, 492 nt
Filed under: uncultured bacterium
Lineage: Bacteria
Description: partial 16S ribosomal RNA
Rfam family: Bacterial small subunit ribosomal RNA
Source: RNAcentral
AGUGAACGCUGGCGGUAGGCCUAACACAUGCAAGUCGAACGGCAGCACAGUAAGAGCUUGCUCUUACGGGUGGCGAGUGGCGGACGGGUGAGGAAUACAUCGGAAUCUACUUUUUCGUGGGGGAUAACGUAGGUAAACUUACGCUAAUACCGCAUACGACCUACGGGUGAAAGCAGGGGAUCUUCGGACCUUGCGCGAUUGAAUGAGCCGAUGUCGGAUUAGCUAGUUGGGGGGGUAAAGGCCCACCAAGGCGACGAUCCGUAGCUGGUCUGAGAGGAUGAUCAGCCACACUGGAACUGAGACACGGUCCAGACUCCUACGGGAGGCAGCAGUGGGGAAUAUUGGACAAUGGGCGCAAGCCUGAUCCAGCCAUACCGCGUGGGUGAAGAAGGCCUUCGGGUUGUAAAGCCCUUUUGUUGGGAAAGAAAAGCAGCAGGUUAAUACCCCGCUGUUCUGACGGUACCCAAAGAAUAAGCACCGGCUAACUUCGUG